Molecule: long non-coding RNA, 673 nt
Organism: Spodoptera frugiperda (fall armyworm)
Lineage: Eukaryota; Metazoa; Arthropoda; Insecta; Lepidoptera; Noctuidae
Exons: 2
Source: RefSeq, a predicted model, not a curated record
UUCUCUCGUUUUAGCAACAUUUUACAAGAAAAUGUUUUCGUGAGACUAGUAUUGUUCAUUUUGGUUUACUACUUCAUUGUCAGUAUAUAAGAUUUUGAUGUUAACCAUGGUUUCAUUUAAAUCCAAAAUACGUAUUUUAUUACCGUAUUCAUGUUUAGUUAGUGCUUUUUAACAGAUAGAUCAGUAUUUUUCUUUAUGGAUGAUAAGGAUUGCAUUCUUGUAGUUCAUAUGGCAUUGUUAUUGGAGUCGGAAUCUCUAGAAUGAUCGCGUUAAGUAUUAAUUAGUUCAAACUAAUAUUAAAUACUUUAGUUCUUAUAUCAUCGUUUUUUUUUAGUUACUUUCAUGUAGUAAAACGACACCAGUUUCACUUGUAACUAAAAUUAAAACUAUGUUCUAUUUGUAGCAUUUGUCAUAAAAUUUUAUAAAAUUAACAAUUGGCAGACUAGUAUUGUUAAAAAACGAAAGUAUAGAAAACCGAUCAAGCUCGAGCGCGUGGAGUGAGAAACUUAGUUACUUACUUCUCUCGUUUUGGCAACAUUUUACAAGAAAAUGUUUUCAUGUGGUUAGUAUUGCUCAUUUUGGUUAACCAUGGUUUCAUUUAAAUCUGAAAUACGUGUUUUAUUUCCGUAUUCAUGUUUAGUUAGUGCUUUUUAACAGAUAGAUCAGUAUUUUU